CAUGGGUUAGUCGAUCCUAAG
Molecule: small nuclear RNA, 21 nt
Filed under: Arabidopsis thaliana (thale cress)
Lineage: Eukaryota; Viridiplantae; Streptophyta; Magnoliopsida; Brassicales; Brassicaceae
Description: snRNA_14346
Source: RNAcentral